This is a long non-coding RNA of Solanum pennellii, 1270 nucleotides long. RefSeq lists it as uncharacterized. The record is from RefSeq and is a predicted model, not a curated record. NCBI's taxonomy places the organism in Eukaryota, Viridiplantae, Streptophyta, Magnoliopsida, Solanales, Solanaceae. The transcript is spliced from 3 exons.
UGAAAUAGAGGUACGAAGUGAUUAGCUAAAAUAAAUAUUGAAUUUUGGUGAUUUAAUCCAAACUUAAAAUUUAACCCUUUCAUCUAUCACAAAUUAUGACUCCAAAUUUACCCUUUUUUCUUUAGGGUUUUGUGGCCGCUCCAUUGACAGCUGCUGGUCUGGAUGCUUGGAUGCUGGACAAAAGUUAGGGUGUCGAGCUGAGGAGAAAGCCGAAGCAAAAUGUCAAGAAUGUACACAAGUUUGGUUGACGGAAAAGAAGGUCUUCCAGCUAUACGUGAGUAACACUCACGUCGACGAGGUGCAAAGUUUUCAAGGUUUUGCCACAAGUUGUUUUAUUUACUUGUUGAUUCCAGUGACGACUUUCAAUGCAAGGAUGUUCAAGAUUCAAUGCUACGAUAUCAAAUCAUCGUGAUUCAAGAAGACAAAGUAGCCAAACUAUCUUCAGUUGCAAUAAAGGUUAUGCAAUUUGCAAAUUAGCUAGUCCAUGACAACAAGAUACCCUUAAAUCCUUUAUACCAAUGCAGUUUGCACAUAAAGCUUGAACAAAUUGCUCAUCCAAGACAUAACUUUCGCAAAUAUGAAAAAUUUAUGCCAAGAUCAGGGGCAAUCCAUGCUUAAAUCCGCAUAUUAGUCCUUGAGCAGUAAAGAUUUCUUCAAGCAAGAUGUUGAAAUCGUCAACAUGUCCAUAUACUUUUAAAAUCAACUCCUUGAUGGUACUCACGACGAGGGUCUCAAUCCAAUUAUGAACAUUAGAGAUGAUGAAUUGAUAGGAUGGAAACUUAGCCAAAACUUUUUUUAUAGAAACCUUUUGCUUUUUGUCGAUGGGCUAGGAUUUGAUCGACAAUAUUCACAAGUUUUGGUUUUCUUUUUCUGAAAGUUCCAACAGUUAUCCACUUCAUGAUAGAAGUUUUAUCGCCAAAAUUAAGUUGCAGAGGGAGUUCCAAGUAGUAUACCAUAUCUUGGACAAAGUACUCAUUUGUGCAGCAUAUUUCGCGAGGAGUAAACAUAGAAAAUGCUGCAAAUUUGGCUCUGACAACAAUUUUGAUAUUUGAUCAUUUACUGCAUCAACUCUUUUAUCUUCCAUCACUCACAAAGAUGUUUAUGAUUUUUUCCCCAAAAAUCAUGGAAAGAUAGCUUGUAUGUUGUCUGCAUUAUGCUUCUUGAAAUGAACUAUUCCGAUUUUAAGUCUCUAUCUUUCGAAAUUACUGUUCUGAUACAUUUCAUGUAUGUGAUGUUUACUUAUAUUUAUAACAAAUUAACAACUUUGCUU